Long non-coding RNA from Gadus macrocephalus (Pacific cod), 264 nucleotides. RefSeq lists it as uncharacterized. Lineage: Eukaryota; Metazoa; Chordata; Actinopteri; Gadiformes; Gadidae. The transcript is spliced from 3 exons. The record is from RefSeq and is a predicted model, not a curated record.
UGGAAUUAAUGUUUGUUAUUGGCGUACUGCAGAUGGACUAGAGUGGAACUUGGAUAAACGUGUUGCAAGGCACGGAUCUGGGGUUCUUGAAUUGACGCGUGUCCAGACUUUCAUGGUGACGAAUGGUGCUGAAGAUUAACUACAGAAUGACUGCCCAAUACGCAGAUCUCAAGAUGAAGAUGGAACUGAAUAGCAUCUUGUGAUGCUGUAAACCCUUUGUGACUUGAGUAACAUUUUACAAUAAAAGUAGAAUUUAAGCUUUGA